GAUGAACGCUAGCGAUAGGCCUAACACAUGCAAGUCGAGCGGAUGAGUGGAGCUUGCUCCAUGAUUCAGCGGCGGACGGGUGAGUAAUGCCUAGGAAUCUGCCUGGUAGUGGGGGACAACGUUUCGAAAGGAACGCUAAUACCGCAUACGUCCUACGGGAGAAAGUGGGGGAUCUUCGGACCUCACGCUAUCAGAUGAGCCUAGGUCGGAUUAGCUAGUUGGUGAGGUAAAGGCUCACCAAGGCGACGAUCCGUAACUGGUCUGAGAGGAUGAUCAGUCACACUGGAACUGAGACACGGUCCAGACUCCUACGGGAGGCAGCAGUGGGGAAUAUUGGACAAUGGGCGAAAGCCUGAUCCAGCCAUGCCGCGUGUGUGAAGAAGGUCUUCGGAUUGUAAAGCACUUUAAGUUGGGAGGAAGGGCAGUAAGUUAAUACCUUGCUGUUUUGACGUUACCAACAGAAUAAGCACCGGCUAACUUCGUGCC
RNAcentral lists this ribosomal RNA (486 nucleotides) under uncultured bacterium. RNAcentral's name for it is "bacterial SSU rRNA". It matches the Rfam family "Bacterial small subunit ribosomal RNA", at positions 28 to 509 of the family's 1533-position model. The record is from RNAcentral.